GGGCACGCAGCUCAGCUUGGACAGAACAGCAGCCUUCAAAGCUGAUGGUCGCGGGUUCAAAUCCCAGCGGGCCCG
This 75-nucleotide transfer RNA is filed under the name Candidatus Marsarchaeota G2 archaeon BE_D. RNAcentral describes it as "tRNA-Sec". It matches the Rfam family "tRNA". From Rfam's summary of the family: Transfer RNA (tRNA) molecules are approximately 80 nucleotides in length. Their secondary structure includes four short double-helical elements and three loops (D, anti-codon, and T loops). Further hydrogen bonds mediate the characteristic L-shaped molecular structure. tRNAs have two regions of fundamental functional importance: the anti-codon, which is responsible for specific mRNA codon recognition, and the 3' end, to which the tRNAs corresponding amino acid is attached (by aminoacyl-tRNA synthetases). tRNAs cope with the degeneracy of the genetic code in two manners: having more than one tRNA (with a specific anti-codon) for a particular amino acid; and 'wobble' base-pairing, i.e. permitting non-standard base-pairing at the 3rd anti-codon position. Lineage: Archaea; Thermoproteati; Thermoproteota. RNAcentral also lists the same sequence under 3 other names. The record is from RNAcentral.